This is an RNA transcript of Gadus morhua (Atlantic cod), 1567 nucleotides long. RefSeq lists it as uncharacterized. The transcript is spliced from 10 exons. The record is from RefSeq and is a predicted model, not a curated record. Lineage: Eukaryota; Metazoa; Chordata; Actinopteri; Gadiformes; Gadidae.
CUCUAAAGGAUCUAUCACAAGAGGAACAGGGUGCAAAACACGGGAAACCAACUGCCAUGUCGAACUAUGGUUUAGGUUGGUGAAACACAGCAUUCUGUGCAAAAGAAAAUACCUCAGACCUGCAGAGUUUGUCUCUAAAAUGUUUGCCUCAGUGCAGGGGAGGUAUGUUGAACAUGUGAUUCAACAAAGCCUGCCAAUUGAUGUACUUCAGAGAAACCUUCAAAGCUCUGUUAAGCUGGAAGAUGACCCAGAAGAGCAAUGGUGUAAGAGGGACACCUCUUCUGGCAGUUCAAAGCGCAAGUCAAAAUAUUUCAAUCCUCCAAAAAACAUUCCAAACCCCAAGACCAAGACCAAAAGCAAGAAGAUCAUAAAAGUGGAGCAGAAUCAACGGGUUGAAGAUGCACAAUUAAACUUGCUGUGGAAAAAGAGGGGAACAGAGAUAAUUGUUGCAACCCUGCCAUCCCAAGUGAAGGGUCGGAGCCUCUUCAUCCACCACACUGAUCUACGGUGUCUACGACCCCACCUGUGGUUGACAGGAGAGAUAAUUCAGGGAUUGCUGCAUCUCAGUGCCUUCACGUACAACGUGGUGGACACCAUUUACCUAAUGGAUUAUUACACCGCAGGUGUACUUUUAUUUGGUGACAGAGCUACUACACGUCGCCACACUUUACCUAAGGUAAACUUCGAUAACUUUGACGGAAUCCUGUCAUUUGUCCACGUGAACAAAAAUCACUGGAACAUGCUGUACAUUCAUGCAAAGUCUGGUACUGUGUACCAAAUGGAUCCCUCACCAGCAUCCUCUGAGCUUGAGGACUCUACCCAUGCGGCUCAGAGACUACAGGAAUACUUGAAGAUUAGAAAACAUCAGGGGAAAACUGACUGGGUGGAUGUGAAGUGGAAAGGAGGAGUGAUGCCCCACCCAGUGCAAAUGGAUGGUUGCAGCUGUGGUGUCAUUGUUGUUGAAAUAUACAAGAUGAUUUCAAAGGAUAAGUUCACUAUUGUGUACUUUGAGCCCCCUUUCUCGGUUGGCUAGGAUGAAAUAGAAUGGUUGACACUGAAAUGUUGACGUUUGGUCCUGUCUCUGGAUGGCCAGAGCAGUGAUGGAAGCCUUCCCUGAGUUCCCCAAAAUGAACUUCUCAACAAAAAGGAGAGCCAUGGAAGAGGCGAGGAGAGAUAUGGCUCUCCAAGUCCUUGAAUCAUCAGUCUUUGAUGAGGAGACUUGUUCGAUGUGUGGAGCUGACAAGCCCCCUGGACAAGCACCUCCCGUUACAGACUGGAUCCAGUGUGAUAAUUGUGACCGGUGGUUCCAUAACCUUUGCUUGAACAUGGACCAAAAUAAGUUAAAGGAACUCAAGAAAAGGCAAUGGCUGUGUGUUUUAUGCCGAUGACAAGGUUGAGGAAAAUUGUGCCUCGUCCAAGUGCCAGGUUUUGUUUAGAAAUGUGAUUAAAAAAAACGUAAAAGGCGUGUUAACAUCAGAAGAUGUGGAAAGCAUGAAUGGGGAGGGGAGACACACACACACACACACACACACACACACACACACACACACACACACACACACACACA